This 143-nucleotide ribosomal RNA is filed under the name Staphylococcus epidermidis. RNAcentral describes it as "partial 23S ribosomal RNA". It matches the Rfam family "Bacterial large subunit ribosomal RNA", at positions 2780 to 2925 of the family's 2925-position model. The record is from RNAcentral. RNAcentral also lists the same sequence under 1 other name. Lineage: Bacteria; Bacillati; Bacillota; Bacilli; Caryophanales; Staphylococcaceae.
UCUAAGCAUGAAGCCCCCCUCAAGAUGAGAUUUCCCAACUUCGGUUAUAAGAUCCCUCGAAGAUGACGAGGUUAAUAGGUUCGAGGUGGAAGCGUGGUGACACGUGGAGCUGACGAAUACUAAUCGAUCGAAGACUUAAUCAA